Molecule: unclassified non-coding RNA, 554 nt
Filed under: Metschnikowia sp. JSKim-2014
Lineage: Eukaryota; Fungi; Ascomycota; Pichiomycetes; Serinales; Metschnikowiaceae
Description: partial contains 18S rRNA, ITS1, 5.8S rRNA, and ITS2
Rfam family: 5.8S ribosomal RNA (bases 204-357)
Source: RNAcentral
GGUGACCUGCGGAAGGAUCAUUAAAGAGUAAGGGUGCUCAGCGCCCGACCUCCAACCCUUUGUUGUUAAAACUACCUUGUUGCUUUGGCGGGACCGCUCGGUCUCGAGCCGCUGGGGAUUCGUCCCAGGCGAGCGCCCGCCAGAGUUAAACCAAACUCUUGUUAUUUAACCGGUCGUCUGAGUUAAAAUUUUGAAUAAAUCAAAACUUUCAACAACGGAUCUCUUGGUUCUCGCAUCGAUGAAGAACGCAGCGAAAUGCGAUAAGUAAUGUGAAUUGCAGAAUUCAGUGAAUCAUCGAAUCUUUGAACGCACAUUGCGCCCCUUGGUAUUCCGAGGGGCAUGCCUGUUCGAGCGUCAUUACACCACUCAAGCUAUGCUUGGUAUUGGGCGUCGUCCUUAGUUGGGCGCGCCUUAAAGACCUCGGCGAGGCCACUCCGGCUUUAGGCGUAGUAGAAUUUAUUCGAACGUCUGUCAAAGGAGAGGAACUCUGCCGACUGAAACCUUUAUUUUUCUAGGUUGACCUCGGAUCAGGUAGGGAUACCCGCUGAACUUAA